Molecule: small RNA, 533 nt
Filed under: Histoplasma capsulatum
Lineage: Eukaryota; Fungi; Ascomycota; Eurotiomycetes; Onygenales; Ajellomycetaceae
Also listed under: 1 other name
Description: hypothetical RNA
Source: RNAcentral
UGGGGAUGACGACUGCUUCGGGUGCGGGGCGGUGAUUGGGUGGAUGGUUAUACAUGUGUGCUGCUGUCUACUUUGUUAAGCUGUUUUUCCAUUUUUUUCCAUCUUUUCUUUCCACGGCAUAUAUGGAGCGUAUAUAUCCCCUGGAUAUUUUUGUUUUUUUUACCUCCUUUUUGCAAAGAAAAACCCAUAUAUUAGUUUAUAAUGUACUUUAACUUUUUGGCCGCAAAAAUUAAUGCGCCCCUGUUAAAUCUUUCUUUUUUUUCUUUUUUCUUUCGUUUGGCGCCUUUAACCAAUUGCACUUUGCGAGUUGACGUGUUUUGAUUUUAUUUACUUUUUUUAUUUUUAUUUUUUUUAUACCUUGCUUUUUUCGUUUUACCCACCCAAAUAAAUAAAUAAAUUCCAGAUACAUGUAUGUGUACAGAAAAAGCCAAGGGCCCUGGGUUGGUGAAUUAGAGAAGCAGAAAGAUAUGUAAGUAUGGGAGGGAUGAAGGCUGAAAAAAACAACCUUGUCCAUCCACGAUAGAAAUGAGUGA